AGUGAACGCUGGCGGUAGGCCUAACACAUGCAAGUCGAACGGCAGCACAGUAAGAGCUUGCUCUUACGGGUGGCGAGUGGCGGACGGGUGAGGAAUACAUCGGAAUCUACUUUUUCGUGGGGGAUAACGUAGGGAAACUUACGCUAAUACCGCAUACGACCUACGGGUGAAAGCAGGGGAUCCUCGGACCUUGCGCGACUGAAUGAGCCGAUGUCGGAUUAGCUAGUUGGGGGGGUAAAGGCCCACCAAGGCGACGAUCCGUAGCUGGUCUGAGAGGAUGAUCAGCCACACUGGAACUGAGACACGGUCCAGACUCCUACGGGAGGCAGCAGUGGGGAAUAUUGGACAAUGGGCGCAAGCCUGAUCCAGCCAUACCGCGUGGGUGAAGAAGGCCUUCGGGUUGUAAAGCCCUUUUGUUGGGAAAGAAAAGCAGCAGGUUAAUACCCCGCUGUUCUGACGGUACCCAAAGAAUAAGCACCGGCUAACUUCGUG
RNAcentral lists this ribosomal RNA (492 nucleotides) under uncultured bacterium. RNAcentral describes it as "partial 16S ribosomal RNA". It matches the Rfam family "Bacterial small subunit ribosomal RNA", at positions 29 to 507 of the family's 1533-position model. The record is from RNAcentral.